This 539-nucleotide ribosomal RNA is filed under the name Aplocnemus perforatus. RNAcentral's name for it is "partial 16S ribosomal RNA". The stretch from base 402 to 539 matches the Rfam family "Bacterial large subunit ribosomal RNA", at positions 2473 to 2611 of the family's 2925-position model. Lineage: Eukaryota; Metazoa; Arthropoda; Insecta; Coleoptera; Rhadalidae. The record is from RNAcentral.
CCUUGUUUAACAAAAACAUGUCCUUUUGAUUAUAAUUUAAGGUCUAAUCUGCCCAAUGAGGAAUUGAAUGGCCGCAGUAUUUUGACUGUGCUAAGGUAGCAUAAUCAAUAGUUUUUUAAUUGAAAGCUAGAAUGAAUGAUUGAAUGAAAAAAUAACUGUCUUAGAUUUAUUAAUUUGAAUUUUAUUUUUAAGUCAAAAAGCUUAAAUGAGAUUAAAAGACGAGAAGACCCUAUAGAGUUUGAUAUUUAAUAAUAUUAAUAUUAAUAUAUUUAAAAUAAUAUUAUUUUAUUUAAUAUUUGAUUGGGGUGAUUGAAAAAUUUAAUUAACUUUUUUUUAUUUUUUACAUAAAUAUAUGAAUGUAUGAUCCUAAAUUUUAGAUUAUAAGAUUAAAUUACCUUAGGGAUAACAGCGUAAUUUUUUUUAAGAGUUCUUAUCGAAAAAAAAGAUUGCGACCUCGAUGUUGGAUUAAAAUUUUAUUUUGGUGUAGAAGCUAAAAUUAUAGGUCUGUUCGACCUUUAAAAUUUUACAUGAUCUGAGUU